This 491-nucleotide ribosomal RNA is filed under the name uncultured bacterium. RNAcentral describes it as "partial 16S ribosomal RNA". It matches the Rfam family "Bacterial small subunit ribosomal RNA", at positions 29 to 506 of the family's 1533-position model. The record is from RNAcentral.
AGUGAACGCUGGCGGUAGGCCUAACACAUGCAAGUCGAACGGCAGCACAGUAAGAGCUUGCUCUUACGGGUGGCGAGUGGCGGACGGGUGAGGAAUACAUCGGAAUCUACUUUUUCGUGGGGGAUAACGUAGGGAAACUUACGCUAAUACCGCAUACGACCUACGGGUGAAAGCAGUGGAUCUUCGGACCUUGCGCGAUUGAAUGAGCCGAUGUCGGAUUAGCUAGUUGGCGGGGUACAGGCCCACCAAGGCGCCGAUCCGUAGCUGGUCUGAGAGGAGGGUCAGGCACACUGGAGCUGAGAGACGGCCCAGACUCUGACGGGAGGCAGAAGUGGGGAAGGUUGGACAAUGGGCGCAAGCCUGAACCAGCCAUACCGCGGGGGUGAAGAAGGCCUUCGGGUUGUAAAGCCCUUUUGUUGGGAAAGAAAAGCAGCAGGUUAAUACCCCGCUGUUCUGACGGUACCCAAAGAAUAAGCACCGGCGAACUUCGU